UGCCUCCAGUUCAUCCUCUGAGCAACUGCCCC
This 32-nucleotide non-coding RNA is filed under the name Rattus norvegicus (Norway rat). Lineage: Eukaryota; Metazoa; Chordata; Mammalia; Rodentia; Muridae. The record is from RNAcentral.